Molecule: small RNA, 84 nt
Filed under: Flavobacterium sp. 9R
Lineage: Bacteria; Pseudomonadati; Bacteroidota; Flavobacteriia; Flavobacteriales; Flavobacteriaceae
Description: Flavo-1
Rfam family: Flavo-1 RNA
Source: RNAcentral
AUUUAGCAAAUCUAAAGGAUCGCAGCGGCAUCCUUUUGUGCAGCGAUAGCGGAACAAAAGAUAUAGCGGAGAGCGGGAACGUUG